UAGUUAGCUAGUCAGCUAGUCUGCUCGCGGCCUCAGCGAAGUCCACCGAGGAGAAGCCAGGUGAAGUUAAUUAGAACAAAAAAAGUAUUAGUUAAUUAAACACUACGCGGUCACCGUCGUGCUACUGUGAACGGACACGUCUCAAGAAAAGAAACUUUCUGAAAUGAAGUGUGAACCGUGUCAGUGGAUUCUCGACAGAGAGCUGAAUGCUAACGUUUACUUGAAAAGAGCGAGAGUUAGCUAGUUUUCAACUGUUGCGUCAGUUAGCGCGGUUUUUUGUAAGCUAGCUAAAAUAGCUCGGUAGCAGCCGUGAAGAGAAGUGAAGAGGACCUGACAAUGUCAACAUGGACUAUUUCCUUCUUUUAAAGAAAGGAGAAGGAACUUGAACAUCAAAUUACAGACAGUAGAGGGGGACACGGCAGCGGAGAGAGAGAGAGAGAGAGAGAGAGGCGAUGGCGUGCUGUGAAGGAGCCUGGGCCGGAUUCAAACCCGUAGAACACGCUCCACCAGAGCAACGGAUGGAAAUGUCCGUCAAUGGGUUAAUGUGGCCAUUCUGUGGAAAUAUGAGGAGAGGAGAGGACACCGCCACAAGUAUGUAUUCAGACUCUUUGCUGUGGCUCUCUAAACCGAAAAGGUUCAGCGUUCAGCUCGACAACGACCUGAUGCUGCUGGAUGGAGAUGAUGCCGGACGGCCCGCAGGAUGUCUCCACCAAUGAUCCAAAACCCGGACCUGAACCCCAGACGACAUCUGCAGAGAGACCUGAAGGUGUCCAAUGUGACUGAACAUUCACAACAUACAGCUGUAACACUGUAAAAGUCAGAAGUAUUCCUUUGUGUAGUUUCGGUCGAUGUUGUCGUUGCACAGUUCAUAAGAGUGAUGUGAUUCAAUGCUCUGCCAGGCCUGUGCUGCGCCAUCUGGGCUUUUCGUGAAGUUAAACACAUGUUCAUCUUGGCUGAGGUCAGGUGACUGACGUUGGCAGUUAAAAAUAUUCCACUUUGGUUAUCCUGUCCUGUGUGGUUGGGAACACUGCCCUGCCGUCCUGUCCUAAAACCGAAAAGGAUGUGAACACCCUAAACCGCCCAGAAAUCUGAGUCAGUACUUCGUUUGAAAAAGUGUCUGCAGCCAACAAUUUCUUUUGCUUGUCUUCUCAGUGGUGAAACUCCUGCAGGACCACUGACUAAUCUGGGACUUCCCUCCCUCUCUCUCUCUCUCCUUCUGCAGUCAGUGUCUGGUGUCCUCUGGGAGACUCUCUUGUCUCUCUCUCCCUCUGUUUGAACAGUGUAGAGUUUUAACGCCUCGUGCUCUCUCCAGGUCUGCGUGCACACUCUGCAAACUGAUUUUUCCAUAUUCUAAAUGUGCAGUUGUUUUUUCUGUCUAUUCUGUGAACACGACAUCAGUUGUGUGUCUGUCUGUGCUGGAUGAGGGAUUCCUCCUCUGUUGCACUUCCUGUAGGUUUCUUCCUGUUCAUGGUCCAUGCACAGAGGGCGUUGUAUGCUGCACAGAUUGUGAAGCAACUUUAUUUGUGAUUUUUGGGCUAAAUAAAUAAAAGUGACUUGACUUGUUC
Seriola aureovittata is the source of this 1565-nucleotide long non-coding RNA. RefSeq lists it as uncharacterized. The record is from RefSeq and is a predicted model, not a curated record. The transcript is spliced from 4 exons. Lineage: Eukaryota; Metazoa; Chordata; Actinopteri; Carangiformes; Carangidae.